This 842-nucleotide ribosomal RNA is filed under the name uncultured bacterium. Its description in RNAcentral is "bacterial SSU rRNA". It matches the Rfam family "Bacterial small subunit ribosomal RNA", at positions 612 to 1455 of the family's 1533-position model. The record is from RNAcentral.
ACUUGGGAACUGCGUUUUGAACUGNUAAGCUAGAGUAUGUCAGAGGGGGGUAGAAUUCCACGUGUAGCAGUGAAAUGCGUAGAGAUGUGGAGGAAUACCGAUGGCGAAGGCAGCCCCCUGGGAUAAUACUGACGUUCAUGCUCGAAAGCGUGGGUAGCAAACAGGAUUAGAUACCCUGGUAGUCCACGCCCUAAACGAUGUCAAUUAGCCGUUGGGGCACUUGAUGCCUUAGUAGCGAAGCUAACGCGUGAAAUUGACCGCCUGGGGAGUACGGUCGCAAGAUUAAAACUCAAAGGAAUUGACGGGGACCCGCACAAGCGGUGGAUGAUGUGGAUUAAUUCGAUGCAACGCGAAGAACCUUACCUGGUCUUGACAUGUACGGAAUCUUCCAGAGACGGAAGAGUGCCUUCGGGAGCCGUAACACAGGUGCUGCAUGGCUGUCGUCAGCUCGUGUCGUGAGAUGUUGGGUUAAGUCCCGCAACGAGCGCAACCCUUGUCAUUAGUUGCAACCAUUUAGUUGGGCACUCUAAUGAGACUGCCGGUGACAAACCGGAGGAAGGUGGGGAUGACGUCAAGUCCUCAUGGCCCUUAUGACCAGGGCUUCACACGUCAUACAAUGGUCGGUACAGAGGGUAGCCAAGCCGCGAGGUGGAGCCAAUCUCAGAAAACCGAUCGUAGUCCGGAUUGCACUCUGCAACUCGAGUGCAUGAAGUCGGAAUCGCUAGUAAUCGCAGGUCAGCAUACUGCGGUGAAUACGUUCCCGGGUCUUGUACACACCGCCCGUCACACCAUGGGAGUGGGGGAUACCAGAAGUAGGUAGGCUAACCGCAAGGAGNCCGCUU